AUUGAACGCUGGCGGCAUGCUUUACACAUGCAAGUCGAACGGUAACAGGCCUUCGGGUGCUGACGAGCGGCGAACGGGUGAGUAAUGCAUCGGAACGUACCCAGAGGUGGGGGAUAACGCAGCGAAAGCUGCGCUAAUACCGCAUGUGAUCUGAGGAUGAAAGCGGGGGACCGAGCAGCAAUGUUUGGCCUCGCGCCUUUGGAGCGGCCGAUGUCGGAUUAGCUAGUUGGUGGGGUAAAGGCCUACCAAGGUGACGAUCCGUAGCUGGUCUGAGAGGACGACCAGCCACACUGGGACUGAGACACGGCCCAGACUCCUACGGGAGGCAGCAGUGGGGAAUUUUGGACAAUGGGCGCAAGCCUGAUCCAGCAAUGCCGCGUGCGGGAAGAAGGCCUUCGGGUUGUAAACCGCUUUUGGCAGGAACGAAACGGUGUCCGCUAAUACCGGGCGCUAAUGACGGUACCUGCAGAAUAAGCACCGGCUAACUACGUG
RNAcentral lists this ribosomal RNA (492 nucleotides) under uncultured bacterium. Its description in RNAcentral is "partial 16S ribosomal RNA". It matches the Rfam family "Bacterial small subunit ribosomal RNA", at positions 29 to 507 of the family's 1533-position model. The record is from RNAcentral.